AUUCUAGUUUUAGAAAAGAAUAUGUAUGCAUAUAUUAUAGAAAAAUGGUUUUAAAUGAAAAAAUUGUUGAAAAUAUUUUUAAAUAUAAUAAAAUGGGUCAAAUUUCAUAAAAUGACCCAAAAACCAGAAACUUUUCUACCAAUGACCUCUUCCUAAAAACUUUUCAACUACUAAUCUUUUGCCCAUGCGAAAUUCCAAAAUUACUCCUAAUUUUAAAAAUCCUUCAGACUGUUUACUUACCUCUACGAAUAUUUUACAACGAUAGGUCCUUUCAUUUCUUUCAUUUCCUUCUCAAUCUUCGAAGAUUUUUCUCUCAAAUUUGCUCCCGUUUUCUCUUCGAACUUCAGCUGGGAACUCCUCACACGUUUCUCUUCAAACUUCAUUACCACCGUCGUCGUGAUCUGAAAGAUUGGUAACAUGGUCGUCCCUACUACAGUCGCUUGCCAAGUCCACAAAAUUGUCCCUAUGAUUAAGAAUCAGUUAACAGAAGAUCAAAUGAGACUGUAUAGGAAAACGACCUUUGGUCCACUGCUGGAUAUAGAUAUUGUUUUUAAUGGACAACUUUUGCACCAUUUUCUGUUAAGGGAGGUAGCAGAUGCAAACCCAGAUGUUAUAUCAUUCAACAUUCUAGGGAAGAAGGUAACAUCAAACCCAGAUGUUAUAUCAUUCAACAUUCCAGAGAAGAAGGUAACAUUCUCCCAAGAGAAUUUUAACUUGAUAACUGGCUUGUGGCCGACCAGGAAAAUAGUAGAAAGAGAAACAAGCGGUAAAAGGUUGCGAGAACUCAUUCUUGGACCUAAGGACCCAAAUGGAAAGGAUAGUUCUUGCAAGGACGUGGAGACCGCAUUCGAGAACUUCAACUUAACUGGGAUGCUGUCAAGGUUAUAUUAGCACUGUUUAUUGAAACUAUGAUGAUUGGAAAAGACAAAAAAAACCCAGUUUGAUGUGAAUUGUCGAUGACCACGACGUCUUCAUACAUUACAACUGGUCUUCUCUCUUUUAUCGAUGUACAUUGAAUAGCAUGAAGAUUAUCACGCGCAGGAAGAAGGAGGCAUAUGAUUCAAAGAAAGUAAAAUGUGAUCAUCAUGCCUUACAUUACUGUAUAAAGGGAUUCGUACUUGCUUUCCAGACUAUUGUUGUGUCGAGACUUGUACCUAGCGCAGAGGAGAUAAGGUACAAGGAGGACCGACUGGAAGGACUUAAUGUGGUUCCUGUUGUUGGAGCAAGAAGGAUUGAAGGGGUUGAACACUAAAUCGAUACUCACGAGUCCUUUAGGGGGCAUAAAGAGCAUGAACUCCAUGUAGAAAGCUCUGAAAAUGUGCAAGGUAUAGAGCCAGAACCAUGUAUGUCGGUUCAGGAUAACCUAAUAAAGCCGGAACCACGUAGGUAACAGAAGUCCUCAAUACAUCGUCAUUCCAAAUCAUACAAGAUUCUUAGGGCUGAAAUUAAAGAAGUUCACAAAUAUUUGGCAAACUUGACUACCAUGGUCUGUCAAAUGGUAAAUACAUUUACUAUCCAGCAUCAUCUGAUGGGCCAACAAUUGAACGCAAUAAAGAUGAUGGUUCAUCGUCUGAAUAAGGUAAGGGUAAAGAUGCACCAGCGAUGACGCAGCGGAAUUCAUGAUCGAGCCAC
Long non-coding RNA from Benincasa hispida (wax gourd), 1632 nucleotides. RefSeq lists it as uncharacterized. The record is from RefSeq and is a predicted model, not a curated record. NCBI's taxonomy places the organism in Eukaryota, Viridiplantae, Streptophyta, Magnoliopsida, Cucurbitales, Cucurbitaceae.